This 373-nucleotide RNase P RNA is filed under the name Halomarina oriensis. RNAcentral's name for it is "Archaeal RNase P". It matches the Rfam family "Archaeal RNase P". Rfam says of the family: Ribonuclease P (RNase P) is a ubiquitous endoribonuclease, found in archaea, bacteria and eukarya as well as chloroplasts and mitochondria. Its best characterised activity is the generation of mature 5'-ends of tRNAs by cleaving the 5'-leader elements of precursor-tRNAs. Lineage: Archaea; Methanobacteriati; Methanobacteriota; Halobacteria; Halobacteriales; Natronomonadaceae. The record is from Rfam by way of RNAcentral.
GGCAGCGAGUGACCGGCCACCGUGGCGUCCGUGCCAGCGGGCACGCGACGCAAACGAGGAAAGUCCCCCCACCGGCCGGGCAGGCGACCGGGCACAAGCCCGGGACGGGAGACCGUCGGCUAUGGAACAGAAACGAGACCCCUCUUCCGGACCGAUGAGGUGCGCGAAGUGAUUCGUGAGAUGACCGAGUGAACCCACCGAGGGCCGUCGUGCGACUUCGCACGCGACGGAAGAGAACGGAUGGAACGGCGAACCCUCGCCGGUGCAAGCCCGCGACGUCGAGGUAGCCCGGCAGACGACCGAUACGGUCGGCCUGUCGCGGGCGCUCAGCCGAAUGCCGGUUCGAACAGAAGGGGGCUUACGGCUCGCAGCC